Molecule: long non-coding RNA, 781 nt
Organism: Corythoichthys intestinalis (scribbled pipefish)
Lineage: Eukaryota; Metazoa; Chordata; Actinopteri; Syngnathiformes; Syngnathidae
Exons: 3
Source: RefSeq, a predicted model, not a curated record
GGUAGGCUGGUUUCCCGACAAUUCACGUCAUCUUCAAAGCGUCUGCCGUCCUCAAGAUGGAAGCAGAAUUAUUGCUGGCUGACAGUGGGAGAUGGGAACGAGGCUAGCAUCAGGUGUAGCAAACGCAGAAACGUUACCAAACUUUGGAAAGCAUUGUCUAAUUGAAUGAGCAGGGACAAACAGCUUGGAGUCAGAAAUACGUACGCUAUUCUCGAACAUGAACGCACCCCAAGUCUUGGAUGACAAAUCAACAGAGCAGAGUCGACUCGACACGGCUGGUAGUUUCUUCAAUUUAUUCAGAGUCCAAAAUGUUGAUUAUAAUUGGUCAGUGAAGAAAACAACAGUUUCGACAUGAAGGUGUCCUGAAAAAAGGCACAAACAAAACAAAGGAAUAGCCUUCAUUAUCAACUGUGAACAUCCACAGAGCUAAUGUUAUGAAAAACGAUCCAUUCAAAGGUAAAACAUUUCUUACUCCCUUUUAAAUUCAAAUGAUACAAUCAACGGCAAAACUGAAUGCAUUUUAAACAGGUUUCAUCUUUUGUUGCGUGUGAAGCCUGAUUGUAUCCAUGAUUAUGAUAAAAAACAGGUACAAUGGCAUGUUGCCUAUCAAGACUUUAGAAUUGAAGAUGACAUAGUGCUUAUCUAAUUGUACUUUUAAAAGUGCCCUUCUCACCUUUUAAACUCAAGGGCAAAUGGCAUGUUGGCAGCAUGAUAUCUUACGAUCAUGAUCUUGGCCUGUGUAGCUUUCAUCUUGAAGCAACAUUUCUCUCUCUGCUUUCCC